AAGGCAGGUCAUUGUUCAAGGUGGAAAGGAGGCAUGAGCAAAUACACAUGGAUAAGAAAUGGUGUGAUGGCAUGAGCCCAGGAGUUCAAGACCAGCCUGGGCAACAUGUUGAAGCCCUGUUUCUACAAAAAAUACAAAAAUUUAGCUGGGCACGGUGGUGCAUGCCUGUAGUCUCAGCUACUUGUGAAGCUGAGGUGGGAGGAUCACUUCAGCCCAAGAGGUUGAGGCUGCAGUGAGCCGUGAUCGUGCCACUGCACUCCAGCCUGGGUGACAGAGUGAGACCCUGCCUCAAAAAAAAAAAAAAAAAAAAAAAAUAGAAAGAAAGAAAUAGUAUGAUGUAUGCAGGGAAAUGCAGGGAACAUGGAGUGGAGUAAGUAUCACUGCUCACUUAAAACUCUGGGCAGAGAAGGGUAGAGAUUCCGCUAAAGAGCUGGGCAGGAAUGUGGUUGUGGGACACUAGCACCCAUUGGAAGAUGUUCAAACACCACCUUGGAGCAAAUGGGAAAAGUUUUUGAGCCAGGAAAGAAUGUAGCCAGAGUAGUAUCAUUGUUAGGUCCCUCUGUCCACAGAGUGGAAAAAGGAUAUGAAAUACUGAAACUAGGAGCAGGGGAGAUUAGUCAGGAGCUAUUGCAGCAGUCCAGGGGAGAGAUAAAGAGCCUCCAAAUUAGCAUUCUGGUUGCAGAGGUAGAGAGAUAUCCAAGGGCAGCUCUGUUUGUAGACAAAAUACUAUUAUAUAACUUAGGACAAAGUAUGACUUUGAGUGACAGAAAAUCCAAACUGUACAAUAGAAGUUUAUUUUCCUCUUAUAUAAACUCUAACUAGGUGGUCCAAGCUCCUUGCACCUUAUUACCCUGCAUGUCUUUCACUCCCAAAUCCACCUUAUGGUUCAAGAUGACCACUGCAGCUCCAUCUGUCACAUUCACAUUCCAGCCAGCAGGAAGGAGAUGAGGGAAGAGCUCAACCCUUCCUUUAAGGACACUUCCUAGAAGUUGUCUAUACCUUUACCACUUACACUUCAUUGGCCAGAACUUGGCCACAUGGCUACACCUAGUUGCAAGGGAGGCUGGGAAAUAAUGUCUUUUUUCUGGAAGCCAUCUCCCCAACCACAAUUCUAUUACUAGGCAAGGGUACAUUGGGCCCUGGAAGCAACUGGUCUUUAUAAGGUAACAGUGGACAUGUGCACUGUGGCCAGACUGACCUGGCUUCCACUCUUUGUUACCUUGGGUACCUCCUGUGAGCCUUGGUGCCUUCAUCUGUAAAUGGAGAUGUAGGAUUAUUGUGAAGAUUUGACAAGAUGAUAGACAAAAAAUGUUUUUAUAAACUGUAAAGUGCUGUCACUUGUGAGAUAUCAUCACUGUGGUUGUAUUCAUCGUGGCCCCAUUGAUGAACCAAGAUUGCUUUACAAGGACUGAAUAAGAGAUACAGAUUUAGAUGCCUCUAUGUCAGUAAAAAUUCUUGGAAUGAGGGAGCGAAAGAGUGAGGUAGGAGAAGGCCUUCUCCUAGACAGAGAGGACUUAGGGAAGGGAGGCUAUGAAUCACAUACUGAGGGGAGCUGCAGGGGUUUCCCAGAAUGGAGUCCAUGUGCUUCUGGAGGAGGCAUCUUCAGCCAAAGCCAAGAGGGUACCUGGAAUCCUGCAAGAGAGUAUGGAGGGACUUGUGUAGCUUCAUUUGUAAUCCACACAUUCCUACCAGCCACUAUCCCAGGGCUUUUCUCCAUCAUCCUGAGCUCACCCAUGCUUCUGCCAUUGGACCAAGCCAGGGUUAAGAACGGGAGCGCAAGGCAACAAUUCCCAGACUUAAUACUUCGCCUCUGUUUUUCUUUUCAUUGGCAAAUGAAAUCAUUUAUUGGUUUUAGCUGAGGUGGCCUCAGUUCUUGCAGUAAUUACUGCUCUGUCAGUAAAUGGAGAGGUUUUGAUUUCACAAAGGUAUGUGUAAAUUGCACGUUUUGCAUUUGCUCAAACUUAAUCAAUACUGUAACAGAAUUAAGAGGUCCAGCAAGACUUGUGAUCUUACCUAAGCUAAUAAAAAAUGAGCCUGCAUAACUACAAAUGGGACCUCAGCUAAUGUAUUUGUAGAUAGCCUAUGACCACAUUUUUCUGUAUUGUAUCAAAUUGUCUCUAGUCUAUUCAGGUAGUGACUAAUAGAGUGUGAGGUUUUGCGGGGAGGGUGCAGUCUCUCAUUGCUGCUACUAAAGGUUUUGUGUCAUCUUCUUUCAUGUCAUCCAAAUUACAUUAAAUUUCAAUCCCAGACCUGGUAAUCUCCCUCGCCUCUCCUACUUUAUUUUUUCUCCUUAGCACUUACCACCUUCUGAUAUCAUGUUUACUUUAUUUAUCUCGUGUAUUCUGUCUCCCCAAACUAUAAUAUAGGCUCUGUUGAAGGGAGGGUUUUUUUUUUUUGUCGGGGGGAGGGGGGUGGCUGGGGAUUUGAUCUAUCUUGUUUACUGCUGUAUUUUCGGGGCUGCAACUGUGCCUGGCUCAAAAAAUUAUUUGCUAUGCGAAGGAAUGAAAUCAUUUGGUAUAAUUGUUGGACAUGCAGUGUGUAUAAUUUCUUUUUUUUAGUUUUUAUUUUUAAUUAUCCAUAAGAUUGAGCAUGUUAGACAUCCAAGGAGGUUUUAAAUGAUCAAUGGUCUUGGUCUGGAGCAUCCCAACUAUACAGGAGACCCCACUUCAGGGAACCCAGAGUCAUUCCUAGCAAGAUGAGAUGGCGUAGACGGUUGGCUUCAAAGGAACCUCCCUUAUGUCCUCAGUCAUUUCUAUGCUACUUGUGGUCUGCGUGGCUCUUUUCAGAGACCUGUCACCCAUCACUAAGUUUUUCUGGACUUGGUGAAACAAUUAAGUGGGUCAAAUCCCUCAGUUGUUCUGGCUUCCAGGGUGGAGAAUUUAGGGAGGAUCACACGGCCACAAGCUGAAAUGUACUUCUCUUUCCUUCAUGUCAGGAUGCUCUGAAGUAAUAAUCCAGCAGUGCUCAGGACUCACUAAUGCAGGGAGUGACAUUCUAACACUGACUGGAGACACCACUGGCUAUCAUGACUUUGCUAACUGAUGUGGCUAAUUCUAAAUUGUUGUUGGUUUGGGAUGUCAGCAAUAUCACGGGAGCAGUCCUAUGGCAUGGUUGACCCAAGA
RNAcentral lists this long non-coding RNA (3122 nucleotides) under Homo sapiens (human). RNAcentral's name for it is "non-protein coding lnc-MOCS1-4:1". Lineage: Eukaryota; Metazoa; Chordata; Mammalia; Primates; Hominidae. The record is from RNAcentral.